AGUAACGCGUGGGUAACCUGCCUCAUACAGGGGGAUAACGAUUGGAAACGAUUGCUAAUACCGCAUAAGCGCACAGCACCACAUGGUGCAGUGUGAAAAACUCCGGUGGUAUGAGAUGGACCCGCGUCUGAUUAGCUAGUUGGUGAGGUAACGGCCCACCAAGGCAACGAUCAGUAGCCGACCUGAGAGGGUGACCGGCCACAUUGGGACUGAGACACGGCCCAG
This 225-nucleotide ribosomal RNA is filed under the name uncultured bacterium. Its description in RNAcentral is "partial 16S ribosomal RNA". It matches the Rfam family "Bacterial small subunit ribosomal RNA", at positions 109 to 334 of the family's 1533-position model. The record is from RNAcentral.